CACACACACACACACACACACACACACACACCCCCCUACCUCCAGGACUGAACGUGAGAGAAAGAGAAGAAUGAAGGUGAGAAAAGGAAAGAAAAAAAGAAUGAUAGACGUGAUGUCAUGUUCAGUCCUGCAGGGGAUUGUGGGUAAAUAAUGAUGUCAUCAAAACAUUCCAAGCCAAGUGUGUAUGUGCCCUUCAGAAUGUGUGUGUGUGUGUGUGUGUGAGUGAAAGUGUGUGUGUGACAAUCAUGGCUAGAGAGUCUCAGGCCUGAUGAAACAGUCGAUUGUCUUAUUUACACUUUUGCUGUCACACACACACACACACACACACACACAUUAUCCAGUCUGACUGACAAACAUUUAGAUGGAGACAGACAGACAGCUUACAUGACUGAUGGAGAGGACGAGGAAAGCUCCGCCCCCUGCACACUCCGUGAUGACGGCGAGGAAUCGCGGGUUGACGGCGCAGAGCUGGUUGUCAUGGACACUGCAGAAACACCUGUAUGGUGGGUCUGCAUUGACGUCACUAAUUGUCUUCAUUCAGAAACUGAAAUAGAACUGGGUGGAUCCUACUGCAAAGUGUGUGUGUGUGUGUGUGUGUAAUAUUUCUCCAAUAUAUGAUGUAUCUUCAGGGCAGCAGCUUAAGUUCCUAAAAUCACACUGGGAAAUCUCAGUAUUCAGUCGUGUGUGCAUGUGUGUGUGUGUUUUACAAGCACUAAAGGUGAAACAUAAAACUGGAGACAUCUAGCAGAAUCUGAAAGUAUUUCCCCUGCAGGCAACACACACACACACACACACAAUGUAACUGCAGUGCAGGCAGAACGUAACACACACGGAUCAAUAUAUGAGGAAAUGCAUGCGUGUGCACACACACGCACGCACACACACACACACACACACACACACACACACACACACACACACACAGACACACACAGACACACACAGAGACACACAGACACACACAGAGACACACAGACACACACACACACACACACACACAGACACACAGACACACACACAGACACACACACAGACACACACACAGACACACACACAGACACACACACAGACACACACACAGACACACACACAGACACAGACACACACAGACACACACAGGAGUUCGUCUGUCGAUUUGGAUGAAGACCGAAGUUUCCACUUCUCCCUCCAUUAUGGAGAACACAAACUGGGACUGGACUUGCGCGUGAAUUGGAUUAAAGUGAGGAAGACUUGCGCAGCAUCAGCCGCACUCUCACUUCCUGCUGACCGACAUGAUCCAGUGACAAGACUGAGUCAAGACGACUGAAGAUGGCUGAAGAUGGCCCCCGGACGCAGUGACUCAUACACCCAUUCAUACACCCAUUCAUACACACAUUCACACACCCAUUCAUAAACACACUCACACACCCAUUCAUACACUACGGACACUUUGGACACGCCAAUCAGCCUACCAUGCAUGUCUUUGGACUGGGGGAGGAAACCGGAGUACCCGGAGGAAACCCCCGCAGCACGGGGAGAACAUGCAAACUCCACACACACAGGGCCCCGGUGGGAAUCGAACCCCCGACCCUGGAGGUGUGAGGUGAACGUGCUCACACACACACACACACACACACACAGGUCAGAGUACAGUCUGAUAAGAACUAAAAGCAGAGAUUUUUUAAUGCUCUUUUCUUUCACAAUUGAUGGUUCUCAAACACACACACACAUUUGUCUGCUUCUCGUCUGAUGUUGUCAGCAGAACAGGGAACAGAGCUGUAUGUUUAUAUCCAGUUUUCAGAUUAUUAUAAUUAACCCUGCCUACAAAACACAGCAGUAACCAAUCAGAGAGUAAGUCCUGCCUCCACCAACACUGGAGCCAAUCACAGAAGAUUAAAGAUUAAGAUUUUACAGUGA
Molecule: long non-coding RNA, 1896 nt
Organism: Ictalurus furcatus (blue catfish)
Lineage: Eukaryota; Metazoa; Chordata; Actinopteri; Siluriformes; Ictaluridae
Exons: 2
Source: RefSeq, a predicted model, not a curated record